GUGAAUCAUCGAGUCUUUGAACGCACCUUGCGCUCCUCGGUAUUCCGAGGAGCAUGCCUGUUUGAGUGUCAUUAAAUUCUCAAUCUUCUUUGGAUCUUUUCAUUGGAGACUUGGAUGUGAGGGUUUGCCGGUUGUUCAAUCGGCUCCCUUUAAAUGUGUUAGCGUUGCCUCAGCCGAUCGAACGCCCCUCGGUAUGAUAAAUAUCUAUGCCGUGUCGGGGAUCGCACGAGAGUAUGCUUCUAACAGUCCCUCUUGGGGGACAUAUUCAUCAUAUCUUGACCUCAAAUCAGGUAGGACUACCCGCUGAACUUAA
Molecule: ribosomal RNA, 313 nt
Filed under: uncultured fungus
Lineage: Eukaryota; Fungi
Description: eukaryotic LSU rRNA
Rfam family: 5.8S ribosomal RNA (bases 1-71)
Source: RNAcentral